Molecule: ribosomal RNA, 497 nt
Filed under: uncultured bacterium
Lineage: Bacteria
Description: partial 16S ribosomal RNA
Rfam family: Bacterial small subunit ribosomal RNA
Source: RNAcentral
GAUGAACGCUGGCGGCGUGCCUAAUACAUGCCAGUCGAGCGAACAGACGAGGAGCUUGCUCCUCUGACGUUAGCGGCGGACGGGUGAGUAACACGUGGAUAACCUACCUAUAAGACUGGGAUAACUUCGGGAAACCGGAGCUAAUACCGGAUAAUAUAUUGAACCGCAUGGUUCAAUAGUGAAAGACGGUUUUGCUGUCACUUAUAGAUGGAUCCGCGCCGCAUUAGCUAGUUGGUAAGGUAACGGCUUACCAAGGCAACGAUGCGUAGCCGACCUGAGAGGGUGAUCGGCCACACUGGAACUGAGACACGGUCCAGACUCCUACGGGAGGCAGCAGUAGGGAAUCUUCCGCAAUGGGCGAAAGCGUGACGGAGCAACGCCGCGUGAGUGAUGAAGGUCUUCGGAUCGUAAAACUCUGUUAUUAGGGAAGAACAAAUGUGUAAGUAACUAUGCACGUCUUGACGGUACCUAAUCAGAAAGCCACGGCUAACUACGUG